Molecule: ribosomal RNA, 289 nt
Filed under: Bipolaris shoemakeri
Lineage: Eukaryota; Fungi; Ascomycota; Dothideomycetes; Pleosporales; Pleosporaceae
Description: partial 28S ribosomal RNA
Rfam family: Eukaryotic large subunit ribosomal RNA
Source: RNAcentral
UUGACCUCGGAUCAGGUAGGGAUACCCGCUGAACUUAAGCAUAUCAAUAAGCGGAGGAAAAGAAACCAACAGGGAUUGCCCUAGUAACGGCGAGUGAAGCGGCAACAGCUCAAAUUUGAAAUCUGGCUCUUUCAGAGUCCGAGUUGUAAUUUGCAGAGGGCGCUUUGGCUUUGGCAGCGGUCCAAGUUCCUUGGAACAGGACGUCACAGAGGGUGAGAAUCCCGUACGUGGUCGCUAGCUAUUGCCGUGUAAAGCCCCUUCGACGAGUCGAGUUGUUUGGGAAUGCAGC